RNAcentral lists this ribosomal RNA (506 nucleotides) under uncultured bacterium. RNAcentral's name for it is "partial 16S ribosomal RNA". It matches the Rfam family "Bacterial small subunit ribosomal RNA", at positions 29 to 523 of the family's 1533-position model. The record is from RNAcentral.
AGUGAACGCUGGCGGUAGGCCUAACACAUGCAAGUCGAACGGCAGCACAGGAGAGCUUGCUCUCUGGGUGGCGAGUGGCGGACGGGUGAGGAAUACAUCGGAAUCUACUCUGUCGUGGGGGAUAACGUAGGGAAACUUACGCUAAUACCGCAUACGGCCUACGGGUGAAAGCAGGGGACCUUCGGGCCCUGCGCGAUUGAAUGCGCCGAUGUCGGAUUAGCUAGUUGGCGGGGUAAAGGCCCACCAAGGCGACGAUCCGUAGCUGGUCUGAGAGGAUGAUCAGCCACACUGGAACUGAGACACGGUCCAGACUCCUACGGGAGGCAGCAGUGGGGAAUAUUGGACAAUGGGCGCAAGCCUGAUCCAGCCAUACCGCGUGGGUGAAGAAGGCCUUCGGGUUGUAAAGCCCUUUUGUUGGGAAAGAAAUCCAGCUGGCUAAUACCCGGUUGGGAUGACGGUACCCAAAGAAUAAGCACCGGCUAACUUCGUGCCAGCCGCCGCUGUAA